This 201-nucleotide non-coding RNA is filed under the name unclassified sequences. Its description in RNAcentral is "manA RNA". It matches the Rfam family "manA RNA". From Rfam's summary of the family: manA RNA has been located in 5'UTR regions of genes of mannose or fructose metabolism. Has been proposed as a cis-regulatory element and as a riboswitch candidate for his complex secondary structure. The record is from RNAcentral.
UGGUGACUGAUCAUCACCAUCGGGAGUGACGGAAUAACCCUGUUGGAAUUUGGCGGGGUAACGUAAAUGGUUAGAGGUGGUGCUCGCUGCUGGGUCCGUCCUGGAGAACCCAUACCAAGGGAACCAUUGUUGUUAUGCACAAAUAUUCGCUUUAGCGAUUCCCAUAACAUGAGGGUACGAAGUAUUCCCUCCUCCCACUCG